GUGAGGAAUUUUCCGCAAUGGGCGAAAGCCUGACGGAGCAAUGCCGCGUGAAGGAUGAAGGCCUAUGGGUUGUAAACUUCUUUUCUCAGAAAAGAAUUAUGACGGUAUCUGAGGAAUAAGCAUCGGCUAACUCUGUGCCAGCAGCCGCGGUAAGACAGAGGAUGCAAGCGUUAUCAGGAAUGAUUGGGCGUAAAGCGUCUGUAGGUUGUUUAAAAAGUAUUCUGUCAAAGAUUAGGGCUUGACCCUAGAUAGGCAGAAUAAACUUUUAAGCUAGAGUUUGGGAGAGGCAGAGGGAAUUCCCGGUGGAGCGGUGAAAUGCGUAGAUAUCGGGAGGAACACCAAAGGCGAAGGCACUCUGCUGGGCCAAUACUAACACUGAGAGACGAAAGCGAGGGGAGCAUAUGGGAUUAGAAACCCGUGUAGUCC
RNAcentral lists this ribosomal RNA (426 nucleotides) under uncultured bacterium. RNAcentral's name for it is "bacterial SSU rRNA". It matches the Rfam family "Bacterial small subunit ribosomal RNA", at positions 354 to 796 of the family's 1533-position model. The record is from RNAcentral.